Molecule: ribosomal RNA, 258 nt
Filed under: uncultured bacterium
Lineage: Bacteria
Description: partial 16S ribosomal RNA
Rfam family: Bacterial small subunit ribosomal RNA
Source: RNAcentral
UACGAAGGGGGCUAGCGUUGUCGUACGGAUCACUGGGCGUAAAGGGCGCGUAGGCGGCUUUGUAAGUACGGGGUGGGAAAGCCUGUGGCUCAACCACAGAAUUGCCUUCGAUACUGCAUGGCUUGAGACCGGAAGAGGUAAGUGGAACUGCGAGUGUAGAGGUGAAAUUCGUAGAUAUUCGCAAGAACACCAGUGGCGAAGGCGGCUUGACUGGUCCGGUUCUGACGCUGAGGCGCGAAAGCGUGGGGAGCAAACAGG